GACGAACGCUGGCGGCGUGCUUAACACAUGCAAGUCGAACGGAAAGGCUCUAGCUUUCUGGGGUACACGAGUGGCGAACGGGUGAGUAACACGUGGGUGACCUGCCCUUCACUUCGGGAUAAGCCUGGGAAACUGGGUCUAAUACCGGAUAGGAUCUCGUGCUGCAUACUGUGGUGUAAAGAUUUUCCGGUGUGGGAUGGGCCCGCGGCCUAUCAGCUCGUUGGUGGGGUGAUGGCCCACCAAGGCGGCGACGGGUAGCCGGCCUGAGAGGGUGGACGGCCACAUUGGGACUGAGACACGGCCCAGACUCCUACGGGAGGCAGCAGUGGGGAAUAUUGCACAAUGGGCGGAAGCCUGAUGCAGCGACGCCGCGUGGGGGAUGACGGCCUUCGGGUUGUAAACUACUUUCGCCGUCGACGAAGGGUUUCUGACGGUAAAUGGAGAAGAAGCACCGGCUAACUACGUG
Molecule: ribosomal RNA, 466 nt
Filed under: uncultured bacterium
Lineage: Bacteria
Description: partial 16S ribosomal RNA
Rfam family: Bacterial small subunit ribosomal RNA
Source: RNAcentral